AGAGUUUGAUCAUGGCUCAGGAUGAACGCUAGCGGCAGGCUUAACACAUGCAAGUCGAGGGGUAUAUGUCUUCGGAUAUAGAGACCGGCGCACGGGUGCGUAACGCGUAUGCAAUCUACCUUUUACAGGGGAAUAGCCCAGAGAAAUUUGGAUUAAUGCCCCAUAGUAUUAUAGAAUGGCAUCAUUUUAUAAUUAAAGUCACAACGGUAAAAGAUGAGCAUGCGUCCCAUUAGUUAGUUGGUAAGGUAACGGCUUACCAAGACAAUGAUGGGUAGGGGUCCUGAGAGGGGGAUCCCCCACACUGGUACUGAGACACGGACCAGACUCCUACGGGAGGCAGCAGUGAGGAAUAUUGGACAAUGGGCGCAAGCCUGAUCCAGCCAUGCCGCGUGCAGGAAGACGGUCCUAUGGAUUGUAAACUGCUUUUAUACAGGAAGAAACACUCCCUCGUGAGGGAGCUUGACGGUACUGUAGGAAUAAGGAUCGGCUAACUCCGUGCCAGCAGCCGCGGUAAUACGGAGGAUCCAAGCGUUAUCCGGAAUCAUUGGGUUUAAAGGGUCCGUAGGCGGUUUAAUAAGUCAGUGGUGAAAUCUGGUCGCUCAACGAUCAAACGGCCAUUGAUACUGUUAGACUUGAAUUAUUAGGAAGUAACUAGAAUAUGUAGUGUAGCGGUGAAAUGCUUAGAUAUUACAUGGAAUACCAAUUGCGAAGGCAGGUUACUACUAAUGGAUUGACGCUGAUGGACGAAAGCGUGGGGAGCGAACAGGAUUAGAUACCCUGGUGGUCCACGCCGUAAACGAUGGAUACUAGCUGUUGGGAGCAAUCUCAGUGGCUAAGAGAAAGUGAUAAGUAUCCCACCUGGGGAGUACGUUCGCAAGAAUGAAACUCAAAGGAAUUGACGGGGGCCCGCACAAGCGGUGGGGCAUGUGGUUUAAUUCGAUGAUACGCGAGGAACCUUACCAAGGCUUAAAUGUAGUUUGACCGGUUUGGAAACAGAUCUUUCGCAAGACAAAUUACAAGGUGCUGCAUGGUUGUCGUCAGCUCGUGCCGUGAGGUGUCAGGUUAAGUCCUAUAACGAGCGCAACCCCUGUUGUUAGUUGCCAGCGAGUCAUGUCGGGAACUCUAACAAGACUGCCAGUGUAAACUGUGAGGAAGGUGGGGAUGACGUCAAAUCAUCACGGCCCUUACGCCUUGGGCUACACACGUGCUACAAUGGACGGUACAGAGAGCAGCCACUUCGCAAGGAGGAGCGAAUCUACAAAACCGUUCUCAGUUCGGAUCGGAGUCUGCAACUCGACUCCGUGAAGCUGGAAUCGCUAGUAAUCGGAUAUCAGCCAUGAUCCGGUGAAUACGUUCCCGGGCCUUGUACACACCGCCCGUCAAGCCAUGGAAGCUGGGGGUACCUGAAGUCGGUGACCGCAAGGAGCUGCCUAGGGUAAAACUGGUAACUAGGGCUAAGUCGUAACAAGGUA
Molecule: ribosomal RNA, 1472 nt
Filed under: uncultured Flavobacterium sp.
Lineage: Bacteria; Pseudomonadati; Bacteroidota; Flavobacteriia; Flavobacteriales; Flavobacteriaceae
Description: bacterial SSU rRNA
Rfam family: Bacterial small subunit ribosomal RNA
Source: RNAcentral